Molecule: ribosomal RNA, 429 nt
Filed under: uncultured bacterium
Lineage: Bacteria
Description: bacterial SSU rRNA
Rfam family: Bacterial small subunit ribosomal RNA
Source: RNAcentral
UAGGGAAUCUUCCACAAUGGGCGCAAGCCUGAUGGAGCAACACCGCGUGAGUGAAGAAGGGUUUCGGCUCGUAAAGCUCUGUUGUUAGAGAAGAAAGUGCGUGAGAGUAACUGUUCACGUUUCGACGGUAUCUAACCAGAAAGCCACGGCUAACUACGUGCCAGCAGCCGCGGUAAUACGUAGGUGGCAAGCGUUAUCCGGAUUUAUUGGGCGUAAAGGGAACGCAGGCGGUUGCUUAGGUCUGAUGUGAAAGCCUUCGGCUUAACCGAAGAAGUGCAUCGGAAACCGGGCGACUUGAGUGCAGAAGAGGACAGUGGAACUCCAUGUGUAGCGGUGGAAUGCGUAGAUAUAUGGAAGAACACCAGUGGCGAAGGCGGCUGUCUGGUCUGCAACUGACGCUGAGGCUCGAAAGCAUGGGUAGCGAACAGG